CUGGAACAAUCAUUUGUAUUACAUGUUACGUUUGGUAUGUAUGGUUCAAUGCUUCAUUUGUUAAUCGGGAGGUGCCGGAACAAAAAGUGAGAGGGGGGUGAUCUGGAGAGCUCUGCGGUACCAGGAACGCAUUACUUACUUUUUCUCACCUUCAUAAUAAUGCAUUGCAUGCAUAUCAUUGCAUUUGCUUUGUGGCAUAGAGCAGUAGAGUAGAGGCACUUAGUCGCACACAUGGGGAACAUUUUAGUAGCCUAAAGCCGUGUUUAAGGGUCAGGAAAAAUGUGGCUUUUAUAAAUGGAUUUCAUGCUCUGUCAUUUUACAUGACUGGAGACUUUGGCAGAUUAUUUUUAAUACUGUAAAUAAUUGAAAUGACAGGCUCCUUUGACACAAACUGAAAAUCUGAGAUCAAUGAAAACGACCAUGUGUUGAAUCCAUCAAUAGACUAGGCCUAAGUGUGUGGAGACAUAUGUUGUAGGCUACAAAAUGAGGAGGAAAUUAUAGUCCUAAAAAUACUUUCCAGUUUCAGACUCGCCCAAUGAUGUGCAGCUCACUCACCGGUGAUGGCCGACGCUUUCGUGCCAAAAGCCUAUAUCUCUCGUGUGGAUAGGUGAUUUAUAUUUGUGGAUUGGUGAUUUUAUAUUUGUGAAUAUAUUUGGCAUGAUAUUGAUCCCAUACAGCAGCUCCACAAUAGUUUUGAGCUAAUAUUCUAUAAGCGGUGCAGGAGUUCAAGUAGAAGAACAUUUGAGGUGCCGGAACUUGGCUCCGGUGAGCUUCUGCCAAAGUCGAGCACUGGUCGCAACUAGGGUUGCAAAUUCAGGGAAAAUCUUGGUUGGAGGUUCUGGAUUUCCUGCUUAUUCCCCUCUUGAUUCAAGGAAUCCUCCAACCAGGAUUCCGGGAAAACCAGGGAAUUUGCAACCAUAGUCGUAACACAGAACAAAGUAAAGUUCAGCAUAUCACAGUGCGGAAAGCAGCUGAUGGCCGUGUUGUUUUAUCCAAGUUCCAGAAGUACCAAUUGUAUCAUUGCCCCUUCUGCCAGCCCUCCAUUUUCAAGCCCCGAGACUAUGCCAGUGUGUCGGCACACAUUGAGUCUCACAGAUUGAAGGCUGUGCUGCAUAGAGAGUUCACAAUAUUCAUAUGCCAUUUGGAGUGCAGAGCAGCAAAGCAUUUUCACUGCCCAUACUGCCCCAAGACCUAUGUAAAUAGGAGUGAUUUUACCAAACACAUUCCACAAUGUGAGUCAGUAUGUGGGCGAGACCCAGGUGCAACUGCGAGAGGCCCAGAUGUAACCAGUGCAACUGCGAGAGGCCCAGGUGUAACCAGUGCAACUGCGAGAGGCCCAGAUGUAACCAGUGCAGAUGUAACCAGUGCAACUGCGAGAGGCCCAGGUUCAGCGGGUCCAGCUAUGAGACCUGCAAGCAAGAGGAAAAUCAAAUGUCGUAACUGCAGUUUAUGGCUUAACAAAAAUAAUUGAUGUUUCUUCAGGCUAAGGCAGCAUACAUCUGCUGAGAAGUACAUUACUGCUCACUCCAAUCUCAAAAGACAGUGCUUUGACCAGGACAAUUGGGUGUUUGCAGAGGAUCAACACAUUUUCCCUGUCUCCUUCUCCUGCGUUCAUUCGGGAAAUGCUUACCAAGCAAGAGGUGAUACUGGAACAACAGACACUCAUCCUACGACUUACAAACAGGACAGCAGAAUGGAGCAGAAUAUGCGAUUGAAAAUGGCCUUCUGCCAUUGAAGGAUCAGCAAGGUCUUCAGAGCCUGGAAACUGAUCUUCAGGGGGCUGACUUCAAACUUAAAAUGAUUAACCACUUGAUACUAAUUGGGGGAUGCGACGUGAAAGAUGCUGUGUGGCGUUUAAUGAUGCGCACAAUUUCCAACACGCUAGCAAAAAACAUGAAUCGGAGAGGAGUAAAUAGAAAAAUCUCUCUUGCAUCCCUUCGACUGUGGGAGGUUUUGAUUGCUGUUGUCUGGAAGAAUCGGUUAACAUCUAGAGCGUCUGAAAGCGAUGCGGAGUCGGUCAUGAAAAAGUGGUUGCAGCUGGCAGCAUACCGGGAAGGAGUGAGAAGCAGACGAGACAGGAGUGUGGUGGCCCCUGUGCCAUGAUGGACUUGGGAAAGGGGUGUAUUUAAGUGAUAAUGCCCAAGAAGCCGUGGUCUGGAGAUUAUAUACGUCAAGGGCCGGCAAACCGUGCUAAUAUAACCUCCAACAGCUUGGAGGGCAUUAUCACUUUUAUACAACGGUUACCGACAUAUUCAAAUAAUGAUUGACAUAUUUUCAUUAAAAACGUUAUUUUGAUUAAUUGAUUCAUACUAUUUCCUUCCUUACAUAAGAUAUAGUCCCAACACAAAUCUAAGGUUCUUGUUACCAGCCAAGCCAACUGGUUGUUGGUUCUAUGCGUUCAAUUUCACGCUAUCUAAGCUAAAUGACUAUAGUAGACAAAAUAAAGACAUAACGAUGCUCUGACAAAGACACAACCCCUUUUCGUUCCCUUGCAUGAAUUGCGCAAGGGAACAGUGAAAAAGACAGUGAUGUGUAAGUUAGAAGUUAAUAUAUUAAUGCAUAAUUCGUAUAGCCUAUAUAUAAGUGUCCAGUGCCUUCAAAAAGUACUCAGACCCCUUGACUUAUUCCACAUUUUGUUAAAGUCUGAAAUCAAAAUCGAUUCAAUAUAUUUUCUCACAUCUACACAAUACCCCAUAAUGACAAAGUGAAAACAUGUUUUU
This is a long non-coding RNA of Salvelinus sp. IW2-2015, 2720 nucleotides long. RefSeq lists it as uncharacterized. NCBI's taxonomy places the organism in Eukaryota, Metazoa, Chordata, Actinopteri, Salmoniformes, Salmonidae. The record is from RefSeq and is a predicted model, not a curated record.